RNAcentral lists this ribosomal RNA (761 nucleotides) under Prevotella melaninogenica. RNAcentral describes it as "bacterial SSU rRNA". It matches the Rfam family "Bacterial small subunit ribosomal RNA", at positions 28 to 776 of the family's 1533-position model. The record is from RNAcentral. Lineage: Bacteria; Pseudomonadati; Bacteroidota; Bacteroidia; Bacteroidales; Prevotellaceae.
GAUGAACGCUAGCUACAGGCUUAACACAUGCAAGUCGAGGGGAAACGGCAUUUAGUGCUUGCACCGAAUGGACGUCGACCGGCGCACGGGUGAGUAACGCGUAUCCAACCUACCCAUUACUGUGGGAUAACCUGCCGAAAGGCAGACUAAUACCGCAUAGUCUUCGAUGACGGCAUCAGAUUUGAAGUAAAGAUUUAUCGGUAAUGGAUGGGGAUGCGCCUGAUUAGCUUGUUGGCGGGGUAACAGCCCACCAAGGCAACGAUCAGUAGGGGUUCUGAGAGGAAGGUCCCCCACAUUGGAACUGAGACACGGUCCAAACUCCUACGGGAGGCAGCAGUGAGGAAUAUUGGUCAAUGGGCGCGAGCCUGAACCAGCCAAGUAGCGUGCAGGAUGACGGCCCUAUGGGUUGUAAACUGCUUUUGUAUGGGGAUAAAGUCAAUCACGUGUGAUUGUUUGCAGGUACCAUACGAAUAAGGACCGGCUAAUUCCGUGCCAGCAGCCGCGGUAAUACGGAAGGUCCAGGCGUUAUCCGGAUUUAUUGGGUUUAAAGGGAGCGUAGGCCGGAGAUUAAGUGUGUUGUGAAAUGUAGACGCUCAACGUCCGACUUGCAGCGCAUACUGGUUUCCUUGAGUACGCACAACGUUGGCGGAAUUCGUCGUGUAGCGGUGAAAUGCUUAGAUAUGACGAAGAACUCCGAUUGCGAAGGCAGCUGACGGGAGCGCAACUGACGCUUAAGCUCGAAGGUGCGGGUAUCGAACAGG